Potamilus streckersoni is the source of this 73-nucleotide non-coding RNA. The record is from the annotation of a GenBank genome assembly. NCBI's taxonomy places the organism in Eukaryota, Metazoa, Mollusca, Bivalvia, Unionida, Unionidae.
GUUCCGGUGGCCUAAUGGUUAGAGCGUCAGCCUCAAAUGUGGGAGGUCGCGGGUUCGAACCCCGACCGAGCCA